RNAcentral lists this transfer RNA (73 nucleotides) under Pseudochorda nagaii. Its description in RNAcentral is "tRNA-Asp". It matches the Rfam family "tRNA". From Rfam's summary of the family: Transfer RNA (tRNA) molecules are approximately 80 nucleotides in length. Lineage: Eukaryota; Phaeophyceae; Laminariales; Pseudochordaceae. The record is from RNAcentral.
GAAAAAGUAACUCAGUUGGUAGAGUGUUGGUUUGUCAAGUCAAUGGCCGCGGGUUCAAGUCCCGUCUUUUUCG